This is a long non-coding RNA of Phocoena sinus (vaquita), 1823 nucleotides long. NCBI's taxonomy places the organism in Eukaryota, Metazoa, Chordata, Mammalia, Artiodactyla, Phocoenidae. The record is from Ensembl.
AUGGUUGUUUAUCUCUCAGGUUGUAAAUUUAAUUUUGAAAUUGGCAUUUUCUAUGGCAAAUAUUAGUAACACAAAUGACCACAAACCAAAUCAUAAAAUAACUGAAAUUCUUACACUUUGAGAAGACUGGUAGCUCUCGGUUAUGAUACCAAGCAGAAUUUUUCUGCAUUUAUUUCUUAGAAAUAUUUCCAAAAUAUUUGUUUUUCAUUUCUUUGCUGGUAACUCAGAAUAAUGAAAAAUCAAACCUUCUGAAAAGCAAGGUAUUUGUUCUUAAAUUGUGUAUCUAUUCACUUUCUGUCUCUCAUAGCCAAUGUAAUUUUUUAAUUUGAUGAAAUGAAAGAAAGUAGGUUGGGAAAGUUAACAUUUGUUGAUCACUAACAAGAUACUAGGGGCAUAGGAGCAUAAUUAACCCAAUAAUACUUAAAUAUUUUAGUCAUGGGGGAAAUUAGGGCUGUUUCUGAGUCUUAUUAGGAAAACAUAUUUUUCUCUUUAAUAUGGAGCUGCCCACAUUUUGGAAUCUUCUCAUUUUGAUACACAUUUUUAUAGUUUCAAGAGAACUCCGUUCUACUAGUAUUUGUCUUAUUUUCUUGGAUUAAGUCUAGUAGUAAUUUUUGUUUUAGGAGUGGGCCAUGAAUAUUCCGCUAUUUUCCGUUUUGAAUACGGUGUGUCAUCCUUUGAAAGCCAUCUCAGUAGUUUGCUUUUUGUCUUUUGUUUGUUUUUAUUUUCUUUUUAAGUGCAGACCUCAAAUUGAUUGUUGCCUAUAAAUAGUAACUUUUAUAUGUUUGUAUAUAAGUGACAUAGCUUUGCCCAGUUAUCUUCAUUGUAUAAAAAUAACUGUAUUCCAUAAAAAUUAACAAAUAGAUUGCAAAUGCAAACUGUCUUUAUAGUUUGGUUGAUUUAUUAGUGAACAUGUAUUGAUUACCUACUCUAUCAGUUGCAAUGCUAGGUAUGUCUACAGAAAAAAUAUUUCAUUUCUAAACAAAUCAAGUCAAGCAAGUUGAAACCUUUCUAAAAUUAUGAAAACAUCCUCUGAUAACUUAUGUGUUAUAUUUCUUAGUCUCAAAGUCAAGAAACGUAUAUAUGUGGACAUAGUUAUGAACUCCUUAUGGCCCUACUGGGAAACUUAUAUAGUGCCUUUCAACUAGAGAAAGUAGUAAUGAUUAAUGGGCCUGUUUGUAGAAAAGAAAAGGAAAAAGUGUACACAUUUGCUGUAACGUUAUGUCUCAUUCACAGUGGAGAUGGUCAUUUAAGUCUUUGCCAAAACUGGGGUUUAAUGAAUAUUUUUUUAAGUCUAAUUAUAAAUUUCUGUUUGUAUUUUGUGAAAAGGUGUUCAGUAAGAAAACCUUAUUUGCAAUAUUAUGUAAAUACAAAAGUAUGUAUUAAAGUUUGCUUAUUCUCCUUUCCCAGCCAAGAGGUUGAUAUCCAUUUUAAAACAAAAUGGGAAAAUAUCCAAUACAAUAUUCUCUUUCUUUUGGAAGCUCUGUACAUGUGAAACCAGACUUUGUGUCAUUUAAUUUGGCCUUUGCUUAUCUCUGUUGUAUUUCGUUGUAUACUUUUCAGGCAAAUACUGGUACUCUAGAUUUAUUAUCUUUUAUUUGCAAAUAUGCCAAUGAGAGAACUAAAAUGGUCAUAGAGUUUAUCAGAAAAAGGAAGUGUACUUAAGAUUAUUUUAUUUAUUAAGAUCUGAAAGGCUUCUAUAUAAAUGCACUGAAAUAAAUGCUAGUAAUUUCUUGUACUCUCAUUUUUUUUCUUUUUUUUUUUUUUGCUUCUCAUGGAAAUGUUUGUACUUUUUUAUCAUUGUCUUUUAUGAAAUAUAAUGUUCU